CAGGGAAGGACCUGCGAGGGACCUGCUUCCGGGAUCGCCAAGCAGAGCGGAGGGUCCCAGUGGCGACGCGCUGCCUCCCUCUGGGCUCGGGGCCGCUGCUGCCAGCCCCGGGUCCCGGCUCCCCCGGCCCCAGGGCAGCGGGGCUCCUUCUCCCCCAGCCCCGGCCCGGCCGAGUCCGGGCUGAGCUGGCAGCAAGAAAGAAGCAGAGGCGAAGGGGCGGUGGCAGCAGCCGGGGCCGCGGGGCAUUAGCUGGAGAAACCGGGCCUCUCCCGGGUACCCGCCCCCGGCGCCGAGGACCUUACCGGGUAGGAGCUGGGCUGCGGCUUCCCGGAAACUUUGGGCGCCGCCCCCGGAGCGCGGCUCGCCGCUGAGGCGGCGGGGCGGCGCGGGACACUUACCGCUCCGCUCCUCACGGCGCCGGCAUCCCCGCGGGGACGGAGAGCGCAGCCCCGGCCGAAGCCGCCCGUGAGGGGCCGGGCCGCGGAUUAGUGGGCGAUCAUCGCCGCCUCCCCUUCCUCCUCCUCGCCCGCGGCGCAGGGCUGGCAGCGGCUCCUGGCGCUGGGGCAGAGCCGGCACCGCGCGGGCUCCGCCGGCUCCGGGGAACUGCACCGCCCUCGCCGGCGACGGCCGCCCGCCCGCCCGAGGGGUGGGCUCAGCGCGCGGGGACCCCCGCCCCGCCGCCUUCACCGUCAUCCUCGCUUGCAUUCCCGCGCCAAAGCCCGGGGCAAAGUGGACAUCGUGGAGCGGGCCCUUGACAGCGCCAAGCCUCGCCAGCUCCAAAGGGGACGUUGCCAAGAAACUGGCAGGUCAGGGGAGCCAGGCCUGGCCCCUGAGGGUCCUGACCAGAGCUGGGAGAAGCCGUGUGUUGCCAACGAGAAGGCGGAUGGAGGCCCCAAUCUCACCCUCAAGACUCCAUUUGAGUGCUUAAACCGCCUGACUGCAUUGGGGCCUUCACUAGUUCCCCUUUCCAAUGGGCCUGGGGACCAGCUGGCUGUUUGUCACAAGUUCAAACAGCCACCCAACAAGUGUGUUUUUUUGUGGACAAGCAGCAGGCUCCGAAUUUCUGGUGAACCCAGAGGAGUCCUUCAAGCGUUUGCCAUCUUGUUGGUCACCCAGGGCACAUGCCAUUGCUGCUGUUCUCCACUGCCCUCUGGGUUGGAGCUUCUAACCUUGAUAAGCUACAUAAGCUGCUACUACACAGAAAGGGGAUUUGGGGGUCAACAUGGGCAGGUGGAUAAGAACAUAACAGCUCCAUGUGUCAGAAAGGCAAACAAAAUGUUAGGGAUAAUUAAUGAGGGAAUUGUAAACUAA
This 1311-nucleotide long non-coding RNA is filed under the name Crocodylus porosus (Australian saltwater crocodile). Its description in RNAcentral is "lncRNA (ENSCPRG00005015421.1)". Lineage: Eukaryota; Metazoa; Chordata; Crocodylia; Crocodylidae. The record is from RNAcentral.